This 677-nucleotide ribosomal RNA is filed under the name uncultured Actinomycetes bacterium. RNAcentral's name for it is "bacterial SSU rRNA". It matches the Rfam family "Bacterial small subunit ribosomal RNA", at positions 28 to 719 of the family's 1533-position model. The record is from RNAcentral. Lineage: Bacteria; Bacillati; Actinomycetota; Actinomycetes.
GACGAACGCUGGCGGCGUGCUUAACACAUGCAAGUCGAGCGGAAAGGCCCUUUCGGGGGUACUCGAGCGGCGAACGGGUGAGUAACACGUGAGUAAUCUGCCCUGCGCUCUGGGAUAGCCACCGGAAACGGUGAUUAAUACCGGAUAGGACCACUUCACGCAUGUGAUGGUGGUGGAAAGUUUUUUCGGCGCAGGAUGUGCUCGCGGCCUAUCAGCUUGUUGGUGAGGUAACGGCUCACCAAGGCUUUGACGGGUAACCGGCCUGAGAGGGUGACCGGUCACACUGGGACUGAGACACGGCCCAGACUCCUACGGGAGGCAGCAGUGGGGAAUAUUGGACAAUGGGCGGAAGCCUGAUCCAGCAACGCCGCGUGAGGGAUGACGGCCUUCGGGUUGUAAACCUCUUUCAGUACCGACGAAGCGAAAGUGACGGUAGGUACAGGAGAAGGACCGGCCAACUACGUGCCAGCAGCCGCGGUAAUACGUAGGGUCCGAGCGUUGUCCGGAAUUAUUGGGCGUAAAGGGCUCGUAGGCGGUUUGUCGCGUCGGGAGUGAAAACACCGGGCUUAACUCGGUGCUUGCUUUCGAUACGGGCAGACUAGAGGUAUGCAGGGGAGAAUGGAAUUCCUGGUGUAGCGGUGAAAUGCGCAGAUAUCAGGAGGAACACCGGUGGCGAA